This is a non-coding RNA of Ictidomys tridecemlineatus (thirteen-lined ground squirrel), 600 nucleotides long. NCBI's taxonomy places the organism in Eukaryota, Metazoa, Chordata, Mammalia, Rodentia, Sciuridae. The record is from RefSeq and is a predicted model, not a curated record.
UAAGGAUGCCCCUCUAGGUACCUCCCAAUUGCACCACCCUGGGGAUCAAGCCUUUGUCACAUGGACCAGGCAAAACUAAAGACCACUCUCCAAUCUUCCACAGAUAUUUAGAGACUCAUGACAAAGAGUUUCUAUUUUGUGACUCACUUGGGAAAUAUGGAGUAAACUCCUUUGUAAUAGGCAGUGUCCAGAGCCACAAAGUAUGUGAAGGGAGUCUGAAAUCCUGUUUUCUGCCACCAUGACUACCCUGGCUGUUUCAUCGAAUGGAAGCAAGAAAACUGUUAGGAUGCUGCUGAAGGAAUCCAGAGUAAUCAAGAUGUUGUUCCCAUGUUCAUUCUCCAGUAAGCAUCAUGUAUAUGGAUCAUGAACUCAGAAACUGUUUCCCAGGGAGGUCCACCUAAGAUGAAUCUCUGACUCACACCAUACCAGGUAAAGAAAACCAAGGCACAAAGUGAAGAAAUAAUUUGCACAAGGUCAUACAUCUGAAUAGUGAUGGAGCUAGGAUUCAAAUCUGGGCGGUCUGGAUGUCUGGUCCUUACCCUUAUCCACUAAUGGCAGAGAAAACAAACUAAGUACAGCUGCAUGGAACAUCAUGGAUGA